RNAcentral lists this transfer RNA (64 nucleotides) under Perumytilus purpuratus. RNAcentral's name for it is "tRNA-Ile". The record is from RNAcentral. Lineage: Eukaryota; Metazoa; Mollusca; Bivalvia; Mytilida; Mytilidae.
UACUGCGUGGGAAUGAUCCAGUUACUUUGAUGAAGUAAAGUUUAAGCUUUAUGUUUCGGUAUUU